AAUUUUGGAAAAUUGGGGCAACCCUGAUCCAGCCCUCCCGCGUGUGCGACGAAGGACUUCGGGUUGUAAAGCACUUUUGGCAGGGAAGAAAAGCCGCGGGUUAAUACCCUGCGGUUCUUACGGUACCUGCAGAAUAAGCACCGGCUAAAUACGUGCCAGCAGCCGCGGUAAUACGUAGGGUGCAAGCGUUAAUCGGAAUUACUGGGCGUAAAGCGUGCGCAGGCGGUUCGGCAAGAAGGAUGUGAAAUCCCGGGGCUUAACCUCGGAACUGCAUUCUUAACUGCCGGGCUAGAGUAUGUCAGAGGGGGGUAGAAUUCCGCGUGUAGCAGUGAAAUGCGUAGAGAUGCGGAGGAAUACCGAUGGCGAAGGCAGCCCCCUGGGAUAAUACUGACGCUCAUGCACGAAAGCGUGGGGAGCAAAC
Molecule: ribosomal RNA, 421 nt
Filed under: uncultured bacterium
Lineage: Bacteria
Description: partial 16S ribosomal RNA
Rfam family: Bacterial small subunit ribosomal RNA
Source: RNAcentral